GACGAACGCUGGCGGCGUGCCUAAUACAUGCAAGUCGAACGCUUCUUUCCUCCCGAGUGCUUGCACUCAAUUGGAAAGCGGAGUGGCGGACGGGUGAGUAACACGUGGGUAACCUACCCAUCAGAGGGGGAUAACACUUGGAAACAGGUGCUAAUACCGCAUAACAGUUUAUGCCGCAUGGCAUAAGAGUGAAAGGCGCUUUCGGGUGUCGCUGAUGGAUGGACCCGCGGUGCAUUAGCUAGUUGGUGAGGUAACGGCUCACCAAGGCCACGAUGCAUAGCCGACCUGAGAGGGUGAUCGGCCACACUGGGACUGAGACACGGCCCAGACUCCUACGGGAGGCAGCAGUAGGGAAUCUUCGGCAAUGGACGAAAGUCUGACCGAGCAACGCCGCGUGAGUGAAGAAGGUUUUCGGAUCGUAAAACUCUGUUGUUAGAGAAGAACAAGGACGUUAGUAACUGAACGUCCCCUGACGGUAUCUAGCCAGAAAGCCACGGCUAACUACGUG
RNAcentral lists this ribosomal RNA (508 nucleotides) under uncultured bacterium. RNAcentral describes it as "partial 16S ribosomal RNA". It matches the Rfam family "Bacterial small subunit ribosomal RNA", at positions 28 to 507 of the family's 1533-position model. The record is from RNAcentral.